UGAACAAUGGCGUAGUUGGACGCAUCACCACAUCUGUCCACAGAAGGUCACCAGUUCGAAUCUGGGUUGUUCAC
This is a non-coding RNA of Pluteus cervinus, 74 nucleotides long. NCBI's taxonomy places the organism in Eukaryota, Fungi, Basidiomycota, Agaricomycetes, Agaricales, Pluteaceae. The record is from the annotation of a GenBank genome assembly.